Molecule: ribosomal RNA, 465 nt
Filed under: uncultured Klebsiella sp.
Lineage: Bacteria; Pseudomonadati; Pseudomonadota; Gammaproteobacteria; Enterobacterales; Enterobacteriaceae
Description: bacterial SSU rRNA
Rfam family: Bacterial small subunit ribosomal RNA
Source: RNAcentral
CCUACGGGCGGCUGCAGUGGGGAAUCUUAGACAAUGGGGGCAACCCUGAUCUAGCCAUGCCGCGUGAGUGAUGAAGGCCUUAGGGUUGUAAAGCACUUUCAGCGGGGAGGAAGGCGUUAAGGUUAAUAACCUUGGCGAUUGACGUUACCCGCAGAAGAAGCACCGGCUAACUCCGUGCCAGCAGCCGCGGUAAUACGGAGGGUGCAAGCGUUAAUCGGAAUUACUGGGCGUAAAGCGCACGCAGGCGGUCUGUCAAGUCGGAUGUGAAAUCCCCGGGCUCAACCUGGGAACUGCAUUCGAAACUGGCAGGCUAGAGUCUUGUAGAGGGGGGUAGAAUUCCAGGUGUAGCGGUGAAAUGCGUAGAGAUCUGGAGGAAUACCGGUGGCGAAGGCGGCCCCCUGGACAAAGACUGACGCUCAGGUGCGAAAGCGUGGGGAGCAAACAGGAUUAGAUACCCUUGUAGUC